ACUCMUACGSGAGGCAGCAGUGKSGAAUUUUKGACAAUGGGGGAAAYCCUGAUCCAGYCMUCCCGCGUGUAUGAUGAASGCCUUYGGGUUGUAAAGUACUUUUGGCAGAGAAGMAAAGGUAUCCCSUAAUACGGGAUACYGCKGACGGUAUSKGCAGAAUAAGCACYGGCUAACUACGUGCCAGCAGCCGCGGUAAUACGUAGGGUGCAAGCGUUAAUYGGAAUUACUGGGCGUAAAGCGUGUGUAGGCGGUUCGGAAAGAAAGAUGUGAAAUYCCAGGGCUCAACCUUGGAACUGCAUUUUUAACUGCCGAGCUAGAGUAUGUCAGAGGGGGGUAGAAUUCCACKYGUWGCAKUGAAAUGSGUAGAUAUGUGGAGGAAUACCGAUGGCGAAGGCAGCCCCCUSGGAUAAUACUGACGCUCAGACACGAAAGCGUGGGGAGCAAACAGGAUUAGAUACCCUGGUAGUCCACGCCCUAAACGAUGUCAACUAGCUGUUGGGGYCGUUAGGCCUUAGUAGCSCAGCUAACGCGUGAAGUUGWCCGCCUGGGGAGUACGGUCSCAAGAUUAAAACUCAAAGGAAUUGACGG
This 588-nucleotide ribosomal RNA is filed under the name uncultured Alcaligenes sp. RNAcentral's name for it is "partial 16S ribosomal RNA". It matches the Rfam family "Bacterial small subunit ribosomal RNA", at positions 335 to 916 of the family's 1533-position model. The record is from RNAcentral. Lineage: Bacteria; Pseudomonadati; Pseudomonadota; Betaproteobacteria; Burkholderiales; Alcaligenaceae.